AUUGAACGCUGGCGGCAGGCCUAACACAUGCAAGUCGAACGGUAACAGGAAGCAGCUUGCUGCUUCGCUGACGAGUGGCGGACGGGUGAGUAAUGUCUGGGAAGCUACCUGAUGGAGGGGGAUAACUACUGGAAACGGUAGCUAAUACCGCAUAAUGUCGCAAGACCAAAGAGGGGGACCUUCGGGCCUCUUGCCAUCGGAUGUGCCCAGAUGGGAUUAGCUUGUUGGUGGGGUAACGGCUCACCAAGGCGACGAUCCCUAGCUGGUCUGAGAGGAUGACCAGCCACACUGGAACUGAGACACGGUCCAGACUCCUACGGGAGGCAGCAGUGGGGAAUAUUGCACAAUGGGCGCAAGCCUGAUGCAGCCAUGCCGCGUGUAUGAAGAAGGCCUUCGGGUUGUAAAGUACUUUCAGCGGGGAGGAAGGGAGUAAAGUUAAUACCUUUGCUCAUUGACGUUACCCGCAGAAGAAGCACCGGCUAACUCCGUG
This 490-nucleotide ribosomal RNA is filed under the name uncultured bacterium. RNAcentral's name for it is "partial 16S ribosomal RNA". It matches the Rfam family "Bacterial small subunit ribosomal RNA", at positions 30 to 507 of the family's 1533-position model. The record is from RNAcentral.